GAUGAACGCUGGCGGCGUGCCUAAUACAUGCAAGUCGAGCGAACAGACGAGGAGCUUGCUCCUCUGACGUUAGCGGCGGACGGGUGAGUAACACGUGGAUAACCUACCUAUAAGACUGGGAUAACUUCGGGAAACCGGAGCUAAUACCGGAUAAUAUAUUGAACCGCAUGGUUCAAUAGUGAAAGACGGUUUUGCUGUCACUUAUAGAUGGAUCCGCGCCGCAUUAGCUAGUUGGUAGGGUAACGGCUUACCAAGGCAACGAUGCGUAGCCGACCUGAGAGGGUGAUCGGCCACACUGGAACUGAGACACGGUCCAGACUCCUACGGGAGGCAGCAGUAGGGAAUCUUCCGCAAUGGGCGAAAGCCUGACGGAGCAACGCUGCGUGAGUGAUGAAGGUCUUCGGAUCGUAAAACUCUGUUAUUAGGGAAGAACAAAUGUGUAAGUAACUAUGCACGUCUUGACGGUACCUAAUCAGAAAGCCACGGCUAACUACGUG
RNAcentral lists this ribosomal RNA (497 nucleotides) under uncultured bacterium. RNAcentral describes it as "partial 16S ribosomal RNA". It matches the Rfam family "Bacterial small subunit ribosomal RNA", at positions 28 to 507 of the family's 1533-position model. The record is from RNAcentral.